GGCUCCUCGUUAAAGAUAAAUAAGGAGUCGGACCUGCCCAGUGAAUUUUCAACGGCCGCGGUACUCUGACCGUGCAAAGGUAGCAUAAUCAUUUGCCUUAUAAUUGAAGGCUAGUAUGAAUGGUUUGACAAGAAUGUGACUGUCUCUUUGCGAUUUCUUAGAAUUUUAUCUACAGGUGAAGAAGCCUGUAUAAAAUUAAAAGACAAGAAGACCCUAUCGAGCUUGAAAAGAGUUAAUAGAUUGACAGCUAAUAGCCUUAAAAAACUAACUAUUAUAUAUUUUAGUUGGGGUGACUGAGGAACAAAAAAAGCUUCCUUUAAAAUAUUUUAGACUAAAUAAGUACUGAUCCAAAAUAUUUUGAUUAGAAAAAUUAGUUACCGUAGGGAUAACAGCAUUAUCUUUUUUAAGAGUUCUUAUCGAAAAAAAGGUUUGUGACCUCGAUGUUGGACCAGAAUAUCCUAAAGAUGCAGCAGUCUUUAAGGGUUGGUCUGUUCGACCAUUAAAAUUCU
Molecule: ribosomal RNA, 509 nt
Filed under: Afer cumingii
Lineage: Eukaryota; Metazoa; Mollusca; Gastropoda; Neogastropoda; Buccinidae
Description: partial 16S ribosomal RNA
Rfam family: Bacterial large subunit ribosomal RNA
Source: RNAcentral